This 87-nucleotide unclassified non-coding RNA is filed under the name Pseudomonas chlororaphis. Lineage: Bacteria; Pseudomonadati; Pseudomonadota; Gammaproteobacteria; Pseudomonadales; Pseudomonadaceae. The record is from RNAcentral.
GUAGGAGCGAGGCUUGCCCGCGAUGGCGAUCGUCAGGCCGAAAACGUACUCCUUGAGGACGCUAUCGCGGGCAAGCCUCGCUCCUAC